UUUUUAAUAUAUUUUUUCUGCGCGCGAGGAACAUGGCGCACGUGUAUCCGUUAUUAGGCAGUGCUGACAAAGAAGGUAGGGUCGGGUUUAUAGUGGAGCUGUGAGGGCGAGCAUAAGGAACGAAGUUGGGGAAACAUGUCGGAUGCGAUCAUACCAGCACUAAAGCACCGGAUCCCAUCAGAACUCCGAAGUUAAGCGUGCUUGGGCGAGAGUAAUACUAGGAUGGGUGACCUCCUGGGAAGUCCUCAUGUUGCAUUCCC
Molecule: ribosomal RNA, 260 nt
Filed under: Hordeum murinum
Lineage: Eukaryota; Viridiplantae; Streptophyta; Magnoliopsida; Poales; Poaceae
Source: RNAcentral